Long non-coding RNA from Sinocyclocheilus grahami, 228 nucleotides. RefSeq lists it as uncharacterized. The transcript is spliced from 2 exons. The record is from RefSeq and is a predicted model, not a curated record. NCBI's taxonomy places the organism in Eukaryota, Metazoa, Chordata, Actinopteri, Cypriniformes, Cyprinidae.
AUGACGUCCUGACGUCCUCGCGUCGUGGUAGCUGCCUGCGAUGACGACGGGAUUCCACAGUGGGACGGGCCGAUUCUGUAAAUGGCUACGAGGUGCAAUUUGUCGAUUUGUUCGUCGUUAAUCUUCUCUCCUGCGGCUCGGAAGAAAGCGUACACCCGCUCUGCCUAGAAGGCUGCCCUCAGGUUUCAAUGUCAUAGCACUGAGUGACACCAGCAGCGCGGGAUCAUC